GUGGGGAAUAUUGGGCAAUGGGGGAAACCCUGACCCAGCAACGCCGCGUGAAGGAAGAAGGCUUUCGGGUUGUAAACUUCUUUGACCAGGGACGAAACAAAUGACGGUACCUGGAAAACAAGCCACGGCUAACUACGUGCCAGCAGCCGCGGUAAUACGUAGGUGGCAAGCGUUGUCCGGAUUUACUGGGUGUAAAGGGCGCGUAGGCGGGAUGGCAAGUCAGAUGUGAAAUGCCGGGGCUUAACCUCGGCACUGCAUUUGAAACUGCUGUUCUUGAGUAUCGGAGAGGCAGGCGGAAUUCCUAGUGUAGCGGUGAAAUGCGUAGAUAUUAGGAGGAACACCAGUGGCGAAGGCGGCCUGCUGGACGACAACUGACGCUGAUGCGCGAAAGCGUGGGGAGCAAACAGGAUUAGAAACCCCAGUAGUCC
RNAcentral lists this ribosomal RNA (428 nucleotides) under uncultured bacterium. RNAcentral's name for it is "partial 16S ribosomal RNA". It matches the Rfam family "Bacterial small subunit ribosomal RNA", at positions 354 to 796 of the family's 1533-position model. The record is from RNAcentral.